RNAcentral lists this ribosomal RNA (468 nucleotides) under uncultured bacterium. RNAcentral's name for it is "partial 16S ribosomal RNA". It matches the Rfam family "Bacterial small subunit ribosomal RNA", at positions 28 to 507 of the family's 1533-position model. The record is from RNAcentral.
GACGAACGCUGGCGGCGUGCUUAACACAUGCAAGUCGAACGGAAAGGCCCUGCUUUUGUGGGGUGCUCGAGUGGCGAACGGGUGAGUAACACGUGAGUAACCUGCCCUUGACUGUGGGAUAACUUCAGGAAACUGGGGCUAAUACCGGAUAGGAGCUCCUGCUGCAUGGUGGGGGUUGGAAAGUUUCGGCGGUUGGGGCUGGACUCGCGGCUUAUCAGCUUGUUGGUGGGGUAGUGGCGUACCAAGGGUUUGACGGGUAGCCGGCCUGGGAGGGUGACCGGCCACAUUGGGACUGCGAUACGGACCAGAAUCCUACGGGAGGCAGCAGUGGGGAAUAUUGCACAAUGGGCGGAAGCCUGAUGCAGCAACGCCGCGUGCGGGAUGACGGCCUUCGGGUUGUAAACCGCUUUCGCCUGUGACGAAGCGUGAGUGACGGUAAUGGGUAAAGAAGCACCGGCUAACUACGUG